This is a small nuclear RNA of 190 nucleotides. Its record names the gene U4. It matches the Rfam family "U4 spliceosomal RNA". From Rfam's summary of the family: U4 small nuclear RNA (U4 snRNA) is a component of the major U2-dependent spliceosome. The structure of U4 snRNA from yeast and human has been reported. The record is from Ensembl.
AGCUUUGCCCAGUGACAAUAUCGUAGCCAAUGAGGUUUAUCCAAAGCGCGAUUAUUGCUAAUUGAAAUCUAAUGGCUCUUCUCUUCUCUCUUUGCCAGAGCCACCUGCAAUCCUUCCUGACUCAUUACCAUUAGAGCCUGGUAAGGUUUCUGGAAGUAACCCACCACCAUGACGAUGCCCACAGGAGUUU